Molecule: ribosomal RNA, 185 nt
Filed under: uncultured bacterium
Lineage: Bacteria
Description: partial 16S ribosomal RNA
Rfam family: Bacterial small subunit ribosomal RNA
Source: RNAcentral
GUAAUACUCCUACGGGAGGCAUGCAGUAAGGAAUUUUCCACAAUGGGCGAAAGCCUGAUCCAGCAACGCCAAGUGCGGGAUGAAGGCCUUCGGGUUGUAAACUGCUUCCCCAGGCGAUGAAUAUGACAGUAGCUCCAGAGUAAGGCCCGGCUAACUUCGUGCCAGCAGCCGCGGUAAUACUCCUA